RNAcentral lists this long non-coding RNA (2828 nucleotides) under Gallus gallus (chicken). Its description in RNAcentral is "lncRNA (ENSGALG00010007055.1)". The record is from RNAcentral. Lineage: Eukaryota; Metazoa; Chordata; Aves; Galliformes; Phasianidae.
CAACCAUUUACACAUCUCAGUGUUCUGAAUAAGAGAAUACAAAAAGUAUGAAUAAAAAGCCAUAUGCAUUCAUGUGACACAGCUGAGUCACUACCUAUAGGCGGGACACAUUCAGUAUUAUUUGAUGUUAAUGUGUGCCCCUCUUAGGAAAAUAUUUUUUGAUUACACACUGAUAUAAAAAGCCAAGAUCAUCCGAGGCUCCAGAAGAAAUACCAACGGUAUUCCUUCCUAAGUCCAUAUAGCAAUUGGACAGAUCAAUACAAUGAGAAAGGCAUGACAACAAAUAUGCAAUGAUAGAAGGACCAGCACAAUAGAAAAGUACCAUAAAGAAAGGGAAGAAGAUCGCUCACCUGCUUCAGAAGAUUCCAGGUUCACAGGGGAAAGCUACACCAAGGAGGGAUCUCCAACCAGAGAUCCUUCCCCAGUGGCAGUCAGCCCUUAAAUGAGGCCUAAGAGAGGUGUAGCCAGGCUCCACCCCUUCUGGUCACACAGGUGAAUUGCCUUCACCUGUGCUCCCAAGGCUGACUGGGUCCUUUCCCAGGUGCUGAAUCAGUGGUUCAGGCCCUGACUCAACAGUUACCAUACAAUACCCACAGUAAAUAUUAUGUCCCCAUCGGGUGCUGAUACUCACUGUUCUAUGGGGGAGGGGCCUCUGUAGCAUUGUCUAGAAAGACCUGUGCUAUGGUAGGCACUCACUCUAUGGCUAUCAAGGCAUUUGCAGAACCCAGAUGGGUUAUUAUUUAUCAAAAGUUCAUCUGUCUUGAAAUAGAAUUAGGAAGAGCUUUUAUAUACUGAGACAAAAGCUACGGGUUUUUCACUCUUUCACAGAGUACCUCAAUCUGUUCCUUUGCGUGGGAGCUUUUCUUGCAGCAAAGCACCAUGAGGGCCACCUAGCAGACACCCUGUGGGGAGUGGUUUUGUGACUGAACUGUAAAAAGUCACUGGCUUUAAAAAGUUUCACAUUCCCACCUUGAGUGGAGCAAUAACUCCUCCUUGUAAUAAAUGAUGUUUCUUUAAUUUGGGUGUAAAUUAAGGACCCUGAUGAUUGGUUUCUUAUAUUUGUUCUGCACUCCCAAAGGGAAAAAAGAACCUGGCAAGGAAAGCAGGUAUCCAAUGAAUCAAUCUUCUGUUGAUUGAAUGAGGUUACUAUUAUUUCUAAAGACUUGUAAAAGCAUGACUUUACUUCUGUAUUUAAUUUUAUUAUUACUGACACUUCUGGUCAACUUAAUGCUCCGUUAAUGGCUGCAGUUUCUUUGGAAAACUCAGCUCUUAUACAUAAUGCUCACUUUUUGAUGGCAUUGUGACCUGUUACCCAGAUCACACAGCAAGUGCAAGCCUGGGCAAUAUGGUCAUCUGUACCAGUCCGUCUGACCCAGCAUCCUAUUUCUGACUGUCGUCCAUAGCAGAUGAGUAGAGAUAGAGCAAAAGCAUCAUGAACAAGGUGAUUUUUUCUCUGAUGUACCUGUCCAGCCAUCAGCAGCUAGAGGUUUUCUGGAUCAGGAGAGGGCAUAUUGCAUUAUUAAGGUCUUGACUGAGGUAUUCCCUGUAAAUUGUCUGGUAUUUUCUUGUGACUUAAUUUAUUUUUGUCUGCCAUGGCAUCCUGUGGGAAUGAAUUCCACAGCACAAUUGUGCUCUGUGUGUAACGAUUUAAACCAAUAAUACUGCCUGAUUAUUCUAGUUUUUCUGAUGCAGGUUGUAAUGAGUAAGUGCUUCCUAUCUAUCUCCUCCCCCGCUGUCUUGGUUUUAUAGCUAUUACAUUUCCUCACAAUUCUCUCUUUUUCAAGAUAAAAAAGAAACCAAAACACAAAAAACUGCAGUCUCUCUACUUUCCCCUCACAUUCCAUAGCUCUGAUCAUCCUGUAGCUUUCCCUAACCUUUCUUUCACUUGACAGUCCUUUCUGAGGCUGGGGAACAGAACUGCCUGCAAUAACCACAGUGUAGGUGGAUGAUAAAUUCAGACAGUGAAACGAUUGUUUUUGUUUCACUCUUCUCUCUUAGAAUCUUUCUGACUUUCUCUGAGUCAUCCAUAACCAUUUUUGGAGCGUUAACCACAGUGACCCCAAGAUCUCUUCCCUAAGCAGCAAGAAGUACAUAUAUAGGUAUCUCUGAAAGUAAUGCCUCCUAUUUAUUUCCAUGUAAACAACAAUGGAUACAAGGAGCACAAUAACAGUACUUGAUAGAGUAAAUUCUCAGCUACAAAGCACUUUUUCAACACAGUCACCACCAUUUGCUAUGCAUCUUCACCAGCAAUGAACCAGAGCCUGCAUUUCAUGCUUGUAAACAUCUGCACCGGUGGAGGUGACCCACUGUCACUGUUGCCACUGCUGAGUGCUAUUUUUUUCACAAGGAGGAAUUCAGUUCCGCCCCUUUGCUUUAUACACACUUCCAUGUCAGAUGCCAUUUUGUCAGACUGUCCCUCUACCACCAUCUGUCUUACAGCAACAAAAUAUAAUGGAAUAUUGGUGGGGAGGUUCAGCAUCUACUGCCAUACUACCAACAUUUGCCUCUGAUAUAAUGGGCCAAUAUAAUAAAACAGGAUGCAUUACUUUCGGAGCAGUCAUCAUGGUUUAGUAAUCAGUGUUCUGCACAAGGAGACCAAUUUAUCAUGUUCUAUCUGUCCCCUGGCUUGUGUCUCUCAUUAAUGAAUUUCAUCUGCCACCUUAUCCCCAUCUUCUAGCAUAUUCCGUACAUGAAAGCGUUAAUCCUGAGUACAGGGAAUAGAAAAGAUGAAACAUUGCACGUAUCUUGACUUAUUAUUUCUCUCUCUGUUUGAACAACGCAUUCCCCGCCUGCCAACAACGCUAUGCUGAUCUCUCACUGACAUCCCC